Small nucleolar RNA from Otolemur garnettii (small-eared galago), 105 nucleotides. NCBI's taxonomy places the organism in Eukaryota, Metazoa, Chordata, Mammalia, Primates, Galagidae. The record is from Ensembl.
AUUCUUUUGUAGUUCAUAAGUGUGAUGAUUGGGUUUUCAUGUGCAUGUGUGAGACGUGCCUCCCACCAAUCUUGUUCUAAUGUUGGCACAUUCCCUAUUGUGAAA